Molecule: RNA transcript, 1296 nt
Organism: Brassica rapa (field mustard)
Lineage: Eukaryota; Viridiplantae; Streptophyta; Magnoliopsida; Brassicales; Brassicaceae
Gene name: lipid phosphate phosphatase gamma
Source: RefSeq, a predicted model, not a curated record
UAGCUUCUUCGUCUUUUGUCGGCAAAUAACAAAUUGACCAAACCUGCUGUUGCUGAUGUGGCAAACCCUAUACAUAACGUGUCGACUUCUAACUUGUCGAUUGCGUACACCGUAAUGUAACGUGACGCACGUGACACGUGUCACGCAUCCACAUUUCCUCCGGAGCCUCACCGUCUGGCUCUUUCUUUCUCAUCCACGUUUCCGUCAAGGGAGAAGACGAAGAAGCUCAAAGAUUCCUCUGGAUCUACCCACCCCAAAUGGACCUACCACACCAGCUCAAAGCCGUAACUCUCACGCACGUCCGCUACCGCCGCGGCGAUCAGCUCGGCCACUUCCUCGCCUGGAUCUCCCUCGUCCCCGUCUUCAUCAGCCUCGGCGGAUUCGUCUCCCAUUUCCUCUUCCGCCGCGAGCUCCAGGGGAUCUUCUUCGGCGUAGGCCUCGUGAUCUCGCAGUUCAUCAACGAGUUCAUCAAGACCACAGUCGAGCAGGCCCGCCCCGAGACGUGCGCCCUGCUCGAGGCCUGCGACUCGCACGGGUGGCCGUCGAGCCACUCGCAGUUCAUGUUCUUCUUCGCGACGUACUUUAGUUUGAUGGGGUGCAAAGGGAUCGGGUUCUGGUUCGGGUUGAGGAGCAGAUGGAUUCUGAAUCUGUUGCAUUGGUGUCUUGCGGUUGUGACGAUGUAUUCUAGGGUUUAUUUGGGGUAUCACACGGUGGUGCAGGUUUUCGCGGGGGCGGCGUUGGGGGUGGUUGUUGGGGGGAGUUGGUUCUGGGUGGUGAAUAGUGUGUUGUAUCGUUAUUUUGAGGUGAUUGAGGAGAGUGCGUUGGGGAGGAUGCUGUGUGUUAAGGAUACUUCUCAUAUUCCUGAUGUGUUGAAGUUUGAGUAUGAUAAUGCUAGGGCUGCUAGGAAGAACAUGGAGGGCGGCCCAAAGUCUGAUUGAUUUGUUUUUUUCUGGUGAGUCUGAAAUUUCAUCACUGUUUGUUAGAAUAAGCAUAUGGGGAAUCAAUGGUGACUGCUCAAUGGUCGGGAAAGCAUUGUUUAGCCACUGUCUAAGACUUUAUGACAUUGGUGAGAUUAGCUGUCAUAUAAUCAUGAAACUCACAAGAAGAAGAGCCUUCUUCACACUUAUUAUUUAUUAUGUCAUCUUUACUUCCAUUUUCUUUGAUCUAUAUUGAAAGAGACAUUGCUUCAUAAUCGUAAAGAGAAAAAGUUAAUGACUUAUUGAUCUCUCGUUUCGGGAUUCAAGCACUCUUGUGUGUAUUUCUUUAGUUAUCAGGACACAUUACACAUUAUUUACA